UCAACCUGAGAAACACAGCAAGACGCCAUCUCUAAAUAACUUAGAUAGAUAGAAAGAGAAAGAAAGAAAAAACAAAAAGAAAGAAAACAUGUUUGGGCCAGGGUUCUAGCUCAGUGGCACAGUGCCUGCCUGGCAAGUGUGAGGUUGUGAGCUUGAUUCCUGUUACAAAAAAAAAAAAAAAAAAAAAAAAAAAAAAAAAAAAAAAAAAAAAAAAAAAAAAGAUACAGGAGUAUUUUCUUGGAUAUGAAUCUGAAUGUCAUUAUUCCUUCUCUAUAGUAACAACAAUAAGUAUCAUUUUGGGUUCUUACUACUUGCCAGCCACCAUGGUAAGUUUCUUCUUUUCUCUCUCUUUUAAUGUACCAUCACGGUUAUCCCUCAAAAAUAAAAUCUAUGAACAUUUAUAU
Molecule: long non-coding RNA, 404 nt
Filed under: Chinchilla lanigera (long-tailed chinchilla)
Lineage: Eukaryota; Metazoa; Chordata; Mammalia; Rodentia; Chinchillidae
Description: lncRNA (ENSCLAG00000022275.1)
Source: RNAcentral